GGUUUAAUUACCCAAGUUUGA
RNAcentral lists this unclassified non-coding RNA (21 nucleotides) under Caenorhabditis elegans. Its description in RNAcentral is "trans-spliced leader sequence SL-1". Lineage: Eukaryota; Metazoa; Nematoda; Chromadorea; Rhabditida; Rhabditidae. RNAcentral also lists the same sequence under 3 other names. The record is from RNAcentral.